GACGAACGCUGGCGGCGUGCUUAACACAUGCAAGUCGAACGGAAAGGCCCUGGCUUUGUGGGGUGCUCGAGUGGCGAACGGGUGAGUAACACGUGAGUAACCUGCCCUUUACCUUGGGAUAACUUUAGGAAACUGGGGCUAAUACCGGAUAGGAGCACCUGCUGCAUGGUGGGGGUUGGAAAGUUUCGGCGGUUGGGGUAGGACACGCGGCUUAUCAGCUUGUUGGUGGGGUAGUGGUAUACCAAGGCCUUGACGGGUAGCCGGCCUGAGAGGGUGACCGGCCACAUUGGGACUGAGAUACGGCCCAGACUCCUACGGGAGGCAGGAGUGGGGAAUAUUGCACAAUGGGCGGAAGCCUGAUGCAGCAACGCCGCGUGCGGGAUGACGGCCUUCGGGUUGUAAACCGCGUUCGCCUGUGACGAAGCGUGAGUGACGGUAAUGGGUAAAGAAGCACCGGCUAACUACGUG
Molecule: ribosomal RNA, 468 nt
Filed under: uncultured bacterium
Lineage: Bacteria
Description: partial 16S ribosomal RNA
Rfam family: Bacterial small subunit ribosomal RNA
Source: RNAcentral